UAUAUUAUCUAACAGUCAUCAGAGAAAAUGUUUAUAUUAUCUAACAGUCAUCAGAGAAAAUGUUUAUAUUAUCUAACAGUCAUCAGAGAGAAUGUUUAUAUUAUCUAACAGUCAUCAGACAGAAUGUUUAUAUUAUCUAGCAGUCAUCAGAGAGGAUGUUUAUAUUAUCUAGCAGACAUCAGAGAGGAUGUUUAUAUUAUCUAGCAGACAUCAGAGAGGAUGUUUAUAUUAUCUAGCAGUUAUCAGACAGGUUGUUUAUAUUAUUUAUCACAUUGGAAAAUUAUAAUUCUGGACAGUUAAUUAAUUAGGUGUUGAUGCUGCUUUACACACUUAGCCCUUCUGGAUGCAGCACUACAAGUGUUUCUGCCCCUUUAGAGGCUUUUCUGAAGUUGUUUCUGCCCUUUCGGUGGCUUUUCUGCAAGUGUUUUUGCUCCUUUGGUGGCUUUUCUGCAAGUGUGGUUCCUACAGGAAUGCAGCACUGCAACUGCUUCUGCCUCUUCAGAGGUUUCUCUGCAGGUGUUGUCCUGGAUAGACUUCUAUCCAGAACAACACUUACAAUAUUUUCAUAGCGAGAUAGCAGCAGUAGCACAUUUUUAAUCAGUCAGUAGUAAUUAGUCAUCCUCCAUCGACAGCCUAUUGCCCUCAGUUACACUCUGAGAGACUCAAUUAUCCAAUAAACACAGGUGUCGGAAAUCAGACAUUUGGCUGCCGUACUUCUGACACUAUUGUCUGAUUUCCCACAAAAGUGUCGGACUGCCCCCAUGUUCUAAUUAGGUUAUAUUAGAUUAUUGCAUAUAAACUUGUACACAUGUGAAUUAUAUUGAUCAGUCACAAAGCUUAUUGAUUAAAUCAUAGUCAUAAGAAGAAAAUAGUCAUAACUGAAGGUGGAUAUGCUUUAUGUAUUAAAUUCAAACAUUC
This 918-nucleotide long non-coding RNA is filed under the name Androctonus crassicauda. Lineage: Eukaryota; Metazoa; Arthropoda; Arachnida; Scorpiones; Buthidae. The record is from RNAcentral.